Molecule: ribosomal RNA, 281 nt
Filed under: uncultured Staphylococcus sp.
Lineage: Bacteria; Bacillati; Bacillota; Bacilli; Caryophanales; Staphylococcaceae
Description: partial 16S ribosomal RNA
Rfam family: Bacterial small subunit ribosomal RNA
Source: RNAcentral
CUCCUUUGACGUUAGCGGCGGACGGGUGAGUAACACGUGGGUAACCUACCUAUAAGACUGGGAUAACUUCGGGAAACCGGAGCUAAUACCGGAUAAUAUUUCGAACCGCAUGGUUCGAUAGUGAAAGAUGGUUUUGCUAUCACUUAUAGAUGGACCCGCGCCGUAUUAGCUAGUUGGUAAGGUAACGGCUUACCAAGGCGACGAUACGUAGCCGACCUGAGAGGGUGAUCGGCCACACUGGAACUUAGACACGGUCCAGACUCCUACGGGAGGCAGCAGAG